Long non-coding RNA from Triticum aestivum (bread wheat), 3619 nucleotides. RefSeq lists it as uncharacterized. The record is from RefSeq and is a predicted model, not a curated record. Lineage: Eukaryota; Viridiplantae; Streptophyta; Magnoliopsida; Poales; Poaceae. The transcript has 7 exons.
CGUGGGCCGUCACAUCCGCAUCCCCACAUUCUCUUCUCCGUCUUCCUCUUCCAGGGUCGGCGGCUGGACCCUCGCCGUGGCCUCCUCCGUCGCGGCCUCGAUCGAAACCGAAAAGAUCGCCCAGUACCAGCCAAGAGGAAGGACAAAGCUGUCACCAGUGUCGUAUUUUCCUGCUCGUCGUCGGUCUCGGAUUCGAGGCGUGCUUCUGUCUCUGCAGGUCUUGUGCUUCGAUUUGAUUUCUUGCAUUAGGAAGUGAAGAUUGUUAUGCAAGUGUCUGAACUUUUCUGAAGGUUCUGAUCCAAGGGGUGAAAAUUGGGUGACGAGGUGCCCUGUCUGACCGAGUUUUAUACCAUGAACUAUACUGUCCUCUCCACCAGCAAACAAUAUGAGUUAUGAGAAAACUACCCGAGCUUCCAACCAAAUGCACGUCGACAUAUAGCUGAAAACAAUUUCCAUUCUUCCUGGGGCGCAAGUGCUUGCCUGGCAAUCAGGAGACGCAUACAGAUUGGAUCACACAUUCUUAAUCUGCAUAAAGUUCUGCUUCAAGUAACAGACAGGCACUAGUCCAAGAGCUAAUCAGCUGAUUUGAAGCAAACGGAUGCCUACACUACAGGUGAUUAUAGCAUGACACACACCAGUUCAUCUUUGAGUCGCGGAACCCAAUCGACAUCGAAAAGAUCGCCCAGUACCAACGAGGAGGAAGGACAAGCCGUCCGUGUUGUGUUUUGCUGCUCGUCGCAGUUUACGGAUUUGAGGUCUUAUGAUUACACAGUUACACAUUUCAAGUGAAGAGCCGCGAUUGCUGCAUGCGUCCGCACAUUUCAAGUGGAUUGUAGAUGGACACAUCCUAUUCUACGGGAGCAGAGGAACUUCUCAGCAUACUGGCUUCUUCACCAGCAAACAGCGGGCGAAACUAUGCGAGCUACCAAACAAAUACACGCCAACAUACAGCUGAAAACAAUGUCGAUUCUUCGCUAAUGCUUGCCUGGCAAUCAGGAGAUGCAGACAGAUUGUGGAUCACACAUUCUUAAUCUGCAUAAGGUUCUGCUUCAAGUACAUCGUCAGCCAUUACUGCAUGAGGUACUCAACUAGUUUGAAGCAACGGAUGCUGUACAUUACAGGGACUUGGUCACCAUUGAACUCGAGCUCCUUCAAUCUUGGAGGUUUGUCGAUGCCAGAGAGAGAUGUGGAAGAUGACCAGACAAUCUUCUCGAGCCUAGGAGCAGACCCGCUGUUGAAGACAAUUUUGGUGAUGGCCGAGCAGUCAACAACAAGGAGGUUGAGCCAUAAGAACUCAUCUUUUUCUAAUGUAAUCUCAUUCUGUGUUCCACCAAAAGACUCGUCCAAGAGCACAAGACAGCGUAUAUUUGGUUUCUUGGUGAGCAGUUGUAGAGCAUCUUGCUCUAGCAAUGUACCACAAAGAGUCAGCUUGGCUAUCUGUUUGGCAUUGUCAAAUGAUGAUAACAAACUGCCACAGAAGCUGUUGUUCAUCUCGAGCUCUUUAAAUUUUGGAAGAAAGUCAACUCCAGAAAUAGAACCUAUGCCGGUGAAAGACAAAACCAUCUUCUCGAGCUCUUUGGCUGCUCCAUGCUCAAAAGUGAUAUUAGUCAAGGCCGAGCCCUCAACAAGAAGGUACUUGAGGCAUCUGAAUUCAUCCUUCUUGAAGUUCAACAUAGACUCGGUGCAUGCAAUGUGUUGGAGCCUUAUGCACCGUAACUUGGGCAGCUUGGCAAGGACUUUCAGAUCAUCUUGGCUCAGCAGAGUGUGACAUAGGGUUACCUUGGCAAGUUCGUUUUUAUCACCUUUUAUGAACAAUGGAAGAAGACGCCCCUUCUGUGUGGUUCCCCUGAUGCUUAGACUCUCAAGAAUCUUGGGAUGGUUUUCUAAGAGAGAGCCUAUGCCAUCUGGUAACUCUGCACUGUAAGGAGUACCCUCCCAUUCCCAUGGUGUGGCUAUAGGAAUAGCAGUGAUUGACAGAGAACGGAGGCACUCAUGUAGGUCACUGAUCGUCUCAAGCAAAUUCUUGAGGUGACUAUCCUUAUCAUCGAUGACCACUCCUAGCUUCCUCAGCUGCCGUAGCUUUCCAAUAUCUUUUAAAUCAUGACUCUGAUGUGCCUUGACAUUGAAUAAUACCUCAAUGUUUACCAUUUUGCCGAUCCUAUGAGGAAUCCAGGGAGUAGAUCCAAAAUUUCUUGGAUCACUGGCAAGCAGACGCUUCAGCUUCAGUAGCAGGAUAGAUGCUGUUGCAUAUGGAGGCACCAUAGUUUCUCGGAUAUCCAGUACCUCUAGCUCACGGAGGUUGCAGAUUUCAAUGGGUAGCUUUCUAAUAUCUGUUCUCCUCAGGCUCAGAUACUUGAGCAGUAACAUCUUGUAGCAGAUGUCCUUGAGGUACCGCUGGUUCUUCCCAAUAAAGCAUCGGCAUCCUUCUAGAUCUAGCACUUUGAGUAGGGAUACUUUAGAUGAAGAGAGCUGCUGGAAAUAUUUAUCAAUUCCAUCAUAGCUGCGGAGUUGGAGAUUGUUGAAAAUGGAAAAGUGGCGAGCCAAGUGAUGUGACAGGCCUGUCUCCACGAUGUGUUGUUUCUUGGCGAUUGUGGUAAUGAAUCCAUGAACUGGAUCACCUACGACGCAACUCUUUACAUUUCCCGUGGUAUCAAUAUCAGCAGGAUAAACAAGGCACCGGCCGACGAGUGCAUCAAAACAUCGGUUGGCCUGACGCACAGAACUGGGCCAAUCUUCCUUGGAUAUCAGCCCUUCUACAACCCACCGUGUAAUCAAGGUUGACUGCCUGAUCUUGUGUCUGGGCGGGAAGAUUGCUAGGUACAGCAAGCAUGACUUGUAUUCUUUAGGCAGAUCUUUGUAAGAGAACUUGAACAUCACCUUAGCGAUGUUGUUGAAUGAUGUUGUUGGCAAAGCCCGGAGGGUGCUGUGCAGCUUGACUAAUUCCUCAUCUCUCCUCUUGGGAUUAGCAUACAAAGCAUGAAUGAAGAUCUUCAUGCAUAAUUCAUGUGGCUCACACUCGUACAGGAUAUCAUGGAAAAUUUGGGGGUCGUAGCUGUCUCCAUUCUUCUGCUGGCCAGUAAGCUCAAGCAAUGCAUCAUGGUAGGGGCCAGCAAGAGAAUAGUCUAUAGGUUCCCGCUGUGGAUAGCAAUAUUGUUUAGCCAGCUGUAUGUCCUUUGUGGCGGUGACGAUCAUCAAAUCAGCUCUGCAGUUUAACAAGCUUAAAGCAUUUCUGGUAUCCUCCCAUGUGGAAACAUCCAUCAACUCAUCAACUUUGAGGAUAAACAGGGGACGUUCAUAAUUAUCCAGGUCCGGAAGAUAAUUCAAGUUGUGUUUAAUCUCGUCUACGAGACCUUUGAUCUUGAGCUGCUCUUCGAACUCGGGCUUCAUUUUGUGCAUCAUAUGAUCCACGAAACAGAGGGCAAGAGCGGUGUUGAUGAGGCGGAUGCCAGAGCAGCACUGGUUGGACUAAAUGCUCUGGCAAAAGUGUACAGACGGCCAGACGGCCAGUCACUUUGGAGAUGGACUGCGCCGUGAUUACAAAGGAGUUGCAAAUUGGGAUACCCACCAGAUCCCCAUGCUAUGGUCUGAUCUCGGGCAUUAAAGUUGUACUCGUUGUCUU